RNAcentral lists this ribosomal RNA (424 nucleotides) under uncultured prokaryote. Its description in RNAcentral is "bacterial SSU rRNA". It matches the Rfam family "Bacterial small subunit ribosomal RNA", at positions 355 to 796 of the family's 1533-position model. The record is from RNAcentral.
UGGGGAAUAUUGGACAAUGGGGGCAACCCUGAUCCAGCCAUGCCGCGUGCGUGAAGAAGGCCUUAGGGUUGUAAAGCGCUUUCAGCGGGGAAGAUAAUGACGGUACCCGCAGAAGAAGCCCCGGCUAACUCCGUGCCAGCAGCCGCGGUAAUACGGAGGGGGCUAGCGUUGUUCGGAAUUACUGGGCGUAAAGCGCGCGUAGGCGGUUUGGUAAGUUGGGCGUGAAAGCCCGGGGCUCAACCCCGGAGGUGCGUCCAAAACUGCUUGACUAGAGACCGAGAGAGGGUGGUGGAAUUCCCAGUGUAGAGGUGAAAUUCGUAGAUAUUGGGAAGAACACCGGUGGCGAAGGCGACCACCUGGCUCGGCCCUGACGCUGAGGCGCGAAAGCGUGGGGAGCAAACAGGAUUAGAUACCCCUGUAGUCC